ACGGGUGAGUAACGCGUGGGAACAUACCUUUCGGUUCGGAAUAGCCCCGGGAAACUGGGUGUAAUACCGGAUACGUCCUUAGGGAGAAAGAUUUAUCGCCGAAAGAUUGGCCCGCGUUAGAUUAGGUAGUUGGUGGGGUAAAAGCCUACCAAGCCUACGAUCUAUAGCUGGUCUGAGAGGGG
RNAcentral lists this ribosomal RNA (182 nucleotides) under Hemiselmis tepida. RNAcentral's name for it is "partial Bacterial small subunit ribosomal RNA". It matches the Rfam family "Bacterial small subunit ribosomal RNA", at positions 102 to 301 of the family's 1533-position model. Lineage: Eukaryota; Cryptophyceae; Cryptomonadales; Hemiselmidaceae. The record is from RNAcentral.